CUUGCAUGGCGACACAGAGGGGAGGUCACGAUGGAGAGACGCAGAGAGUAAAAAGGAACAAGGCAGGGAGAACUGAUAGGAGCAUCUGAGAGGAUAACUGCUUGUUUGCUCACUCUUGUCUUCUUGCUCCCCCUCCUGUCCAUUCACUUCCACUCACAGCACAAACGCUCAGACGGCUUAUACUGUAGGAAGGCACAGCGCUCUGAGGGAUGGAUAAAAAGGUUCCCACGUGAAAGGCAUGAAUCCACGGUAGAGGAGGAGGGUGAGAUAGAGAGAGAGAGAGAGAGAGAGAGAGAGAGAAAUCACAGAGAAGAGGAGAAAGAGGUGAGGAGGAGAGGGAAGGGAGACAAGAGAGGACCAGAUGGACUCCACACAGAGGAGAGGAAACAGUGCAAAGCUCACCGAGCAGCAGUGACAGAGAGGUGGGAAUAAAAGCAAACAUGAACGUCUGUGGGAUUGAAUAAUGGGAGAAGGAGAUGUGAGGGAACAGCGAAGAAGAAGAGGAGCGAGCAUUUGUGGGAGAAAGAAACAACACAGAGGGGGAACAGGAGAGAGAGAGAGAGAGAGAUGUGGAGCUCAUGGUGUCUUCAGCCACGAGGACACACUAAGAAAGGACCUGCAAAAGAAAUAAAUUGAGGCAACGUGGAAUAAAAACAAAGGGAACGGACAGCGAACAAAGGAAAUGUAUAAGAGUCAGGACAUUAUGGGGAAGCAUGUAUGUCCAUCACAUACUUUGACCAUCCAAUCUCCUGAAGACCCAACAGACAAAGCAGGUAGAGAAGGAGGGGCUGCCAAGUAGUCAAGCCAACGUGAUGGGCACAGAUGGGAUGGACAGGUUGCAUUCCCUUCCUCCACGCUCAUUUGCUGGUAACUUCCCUGGCCUUGUCAAGAGUUCACCUCCCUGCAAAGUUAAAGAGAAAUGGUAAUAACAAGCAAAAGUGCUCAACUUCAAAGGAAAUGGAGCAGUAUGGACACUACUCCCACGUUCACUUGAAAGAAUAUUUGAUGCUGCAUAUAUUUAUUUUUGAUGGAAGUGUAAUAGUGAAGAACCAUUAGUUUAUUUGGGUAGCAUUCUUCACAGCAAUCUAUAAAUUUUUUUUUAUUUCAUGUGUUUAGUAUUGAACUGUGAAUAUGGUCAUCCAUUAUUUCUUGAGGGCAAUCUCAGUUGCAAAAGAAGUCCUUGGAGUAUGGAUCUGAGACAUAUAAAGACACAGUUAUAUUGCCAGUUUGCUAUUUGCUGAAACUGGUUCUCAGUCAAUUGUACAGAUCUCCCACUGUUGUAAAAGGAGAGGUCACUUUCCUUGUCGAUGCACUAACACAUCUAGGCUUUCAUUCAAUCAAACUACCUGCAGAGCCUGUGGAUGUUGGGGGCGAGAGAGCUACAAGAGAAAUGGUGAGCAAAGAGCCCAACCACCUGCUUACAGGCCAAACAAACGGCAAGAGCACAUUGGCAGACAAGUUGCCUGGGACAAUGACUGUGCGCUCAGUAUUGCUCAAUCGAGACUCACCAGAUAUUGAGAGCCGCCUCAAGCGCCGCCGCAACCGUACCCACCAGGUCCGCUUCAAAGACCUGGAAGAUGGCAGCAGCAGCAGUGGCAACAGUGGAACAGGAGAAAAUAAUAGCCAUCAAAAGCAUGCCAUAGACUGUGGCAGCCCACAUCCUCUUCGUAAACACAGCAGCAAAUCCAAACAACCAUGGAUGGCCAGGGACAGCCCACAGACCGAUGGUCUCCCUGGUCAAACCUCCGUGGUGGGAGCUGUGCGUGGGGACAUGGCAAGCACCAUAGAAGUGGUGGCCGCUUUUUUAGCCAGGGCCCCUCCUCAUCCACUGACACCGGGUCCAACUCGUCGAUGCUGGGCUCCACCACAGACUAACUCCUUAACCUUGCCAAUGACACGCAGGCCCUGUACAAGCACCAGCACAGCCAUCCAGACAUCCCCAUGCCUGAAAAAGCCCCAGUCCCUCUCCUCCACCCACACACGAAGCCACAGCCUCGGGGACUCAGUUGGAGUAGAUGGGGACGAUGAGCAUGACUCUCAAGAUGAGUACCUUACACACAAUGUGAAGCUGCCUGGGUCCAGGGACCAGAAUGGUCCACCUUGUCCUGCAGAUAGAACUGUUGUGGAACGACGGUCUAAAGCCUCCAGGACAGACAUUAAAUCAAAUGUUAGUGUGGUAAAAAACUCAAGGCACAGCUGCCCUCCUUCAGUCCUUCACAGCACGGAGUCAUGUCACUGUUCCUCUGUAUCUGUGCGUGAUGGGUCCAAGCGGCAGGGAAGCAGCACUCCCUCAUUGGUAAGGAGGAGAAAGCGGCUAAAUAGGACAACAAGUGAUCCUGGAAAGGAGGUGCAGUACUGCACCACUCCAACUCAGACUGAAACCCCCAGUCUGUUACCACCACUUUCAAAUACCAAACGCUGCACCUCUCAAGUUCAAACUGAGAGCCCUUCUUCAUCUCAAAAUUCAAAGUAUUGCACCACCCAAAGUCAAACAGAGAAUCAACAUCAGCCUCUACCUGUGAGUGAAAAACGAUGCACAACCCCAAUUCAAAUCACCAACCCUUGUCCAGCCCUCCCUUCCAGUGUUGAGCAGUGCACCACUCAAAUACAAACAGACACUCCCUGUCACUCACCUCCGGAUAAACAACCCUCAACCACCCAGACACACACUCACAGCCCCCGUGCUUCUCCACCACUGACCGUAUCACCCACCUCAGUGCAAAUUCAAUCUGAGAGCCCUGUAUCCCCAACUGCAACUCAAGACCCUCAUACAACCCAAAUAACGAGUGUGCCUUACUCUACUUCUCCCCUGCCUACAGGUGCACCACCACAGACUCCUGAACACCACUCUACGCCUCCCCCCUCCUCCCCAGCCAAGUCAGUUUGCAGGACCUCUCCUCUGCCCAUUGUACUGUCUGUUCCUUGCUCCACUUCUCCACCUAUUAUAAGCCAACACCCUAUCCCCCAAUAUGCUGUGUCAACAACAACCUCUUGCACAGCUGUUGUCUCCACUCCUACACCUCCAUGCCCCACUCAAAACUGCACCUCUUCUAUCCCAAACAUAGAAUCAUCCACUCCUCUAAUUUGUUCUACCCCUACCCCAACUAAAACCACAAAUAUAACUACAUUUGACUCUAUCAGACAUCUAACCACUGCCCCAAAUGUAACUUAUCAAGCUUCACACAGUGCACCAAACACCACGCCGCCUUCAAAUCUAACUCCCUGCACAUUUGUAACUCAGACUGCCAUGUCUUGCACCUCCAUUUCAUAUUAUACUACCACACAUCCAGCUGGUCCCCAUGCUCCUCAGCCAAAUUGUGUUUCACCUUCUUAUGCGACUUUCGUGCAAACUGUAUCCCAUUGCAACAUACCACGUCAAGUCCUGCAGAAUACCUCCUCUGUCAACCCAGGCAUUACCCCCUACUCUGCCCAAGUCCCAAAGUCUUGCACUUCUCCACCGCUACUUGUGAAAACGUAUACAUCAAAUCUUCCAAAUGGACAAGUGUGUGCCACACCAACUAAAGCUGUUCCUUUAUACUCUUCCACAUUUCGUGCUGCACCACCCUACACCCCCCCCUCUCAGGCCUCCUUUAAUGCUCAGGAUAAGAGGGGCAUUCGACUUCCACCUCCUCCCCCACCACCACCACCCUACACACCUCGUAAAAAUGGAACUGAUCCACAAGGUCCUGCAAUUCGAACACCCAAGCUCAGGGCAGACAGCAAGGCCAAUGAAAAAGAGAAAGACAGUGAGAAGGAGAAAAAGGAAGAUGUAAAAUGUACAGACUCACCCAAGCUCUGUGAGCCAGCCAGCUCUCUAAAGCACAGAGCUCAAACCCCGCCAAUUCCUGUGAUUAGGGGGGAGAAGCAGCCUUCCUCAUCCUCUCCUGCCAAGGCCUGUUUUAAGCCCAGCUGUCUCAGCUCAGCUCAAGCUCAGCUCGGGGCACUACAUAAAAUGCUCUGCUCAGGAGCCAGUCCCAGGCCCAACACUCCCAACAGUCAGCACCCUCUUCCUCCAAACCAACAGAGUUGCUCUGGAGCCAAGGGUUGCUCCGCUUCUGGGGACCAGUGUACAGCUGGGCCCUUGACUUCCACCCAGGCUGACACACUAAGACAGGUCCAGGAAAUUCUGGGAGGGUUGGUGUCUGGGGCCAGGUGUAAACUGGACCCCGCCAGAGUGACAGAAAAGCUCCUGAGUCCCAAUGGGCCCCUGCAUGAUAUUCGAAGCUUGCAGAACCAGCUCCACAGCUUGGAGGGGGUCCUGGAGACCAGCCAGAACACCAUUAAGGUCCUGCUGGAUGUGAUUCAAGACCUUGAGAAGAAGGAAGCUGAGAGAGAUGGAAAGUUGACUGACACUGUGACAACUCUCCAGAAUUUGAAGAACUCAUCUCUACCAAGCUGCUGUUCAACUCAUCGAACUCAUCGGUAGCUGAAUAAACGUGCCAAUGCAGUUUUGUUAUUGACUGCAGGGAAGUUUUCCAAGCCGUUAAGGACUGACACUUAAAAAUCACGGCCCAAAGUUAGCAUCUUGGACGGCUCAUUGCACACAAUGUAGACACAGAGCAACCACAUUAUAACAGUCUGAUUGUAAAGUAAAAGUGUAGUCUUGGCUGAACGUAUAUGGGGAAACAUAUACAGGAUCACUAAUAUUGUUCCUUGCACCACAUGUCCAAGGUGGUGUUCAAAGGUAGCAUAACAAUAAGUGUGAAAUGUUGCAUAGCCCUGGGGUAAAUCACGGGUUUUUAGUUCAAAAGUAGCGGGAAAGUACUGGUCUAAAAAAGGAGCUAUUCCACAUUAGAAGAUUUAAAUAAACACUGAUAGAUAGAUAGAUAGAUAGAUAGAUAGAUGUUUCAUUCCUAGACAAUUAAUUUAUUGAGUAAGAUUCAGACUCUCUUUAUAAUCUUUGCUGCAGCUUGUCUAUUUAUAGUCAAUCCCGGGAUUGUGAGCAUCAUAAAUCUAGAGUGGUGACAAUGAGAGGGAAAAGGAGAUGCAAAUGGACAGUUUGGACUGAGAUAAGACAUGGGAUAGUUAUUUUUAUGUAGUCUCUAGUCAGUCCCACAAGUCUCACCUUUCUGUAUGCUUAAAAAUCUAUGUCACGUCAUACCACAGUGAGACUUUUGGGAGACUGGCUGCACUGACUGUACAGUACUUGCUCUUGUGUUUAUACCCAGCAGGCAGGUAGAGAUAGAAAUCAGCAUAUGACUGUCAUCAUGUUGGUGGAUUCAGACGCUCCAUGCCUCUUAGUGUAAAGCUUCUCUGUUCUCAUCAAGUCUUUAAUCAAUGUGCUUCCUACAUCGUAAGCUGCUUAGUAAUUUCUCCCACCUCAUCACUCCAAAAUAGUCCAUGAUGUGGAUACAAGAAAACAGCAGCUAACAACAGUCACAGAGAGAUGCAUCUAGGCUUGACUGAAAUCAGAACAGUUAAAACCAAAUCCCCCUAGUUAAACUAUACUUCGCCAACAUUAGAUCGUGUGCAUUGCAUGGACCUCUGUCUCACGAAGUGAUAACUUGCGUGCCAAGAAAUGCACGAUGGGAAUAAGGCUAAUGCAUGCAGACACGACUUUUACCUCAUAAGCAUUAUUUUAUGCCUGAAGUGAUAUGGUGACUCAUGGUUUACGUAACAGCCUGUUGGAAGGGGUAGAGUUCAUUAAAAAUGAUUAUGGGGGUCAUUGCAGAGAGGAGAUUGGUAUGUUUGCAGGGACUUGUGUGGCAGUGGUUCGGUUCAACAAGGGAGAAGAUACUCCAACUGUGUCUCUGUGGGCUGGCACACACACACACACACUCACACACAACAUCACUCUUUUACCCCUGAUAUGUCAUUUAUGUGCUUUUCAACAGAAGAAAUUCAUACAGAACCGGACAGGACAUUGAAAACUGCGGGACCUGCAGGGACUGUGCCUGCAUCAUCUACAGCGUAGAGCACGACUUUCGCCUGCAGGAAGGGCAGGUCGUACGCACAUGGAAGGUGGGCGACCCUCCGGAGGCCUC
RNA transcript from Solea solea (common sole), 5984 nucleotides. It is a transcript of the gene named mucin-2, with no coding region annotated. The transcript is spliced from 4 exons. The record is from RefSeq and is a predicted model, not a curated record. Lineage: Eukaryota; Metazoa; Chordata; Actinopteri; Pleuronectiformes; Soleidae.